Molecule: long non-coding RNA, 600 nt
Filed under: Medicago truncatula (barrel medic)
Lineage: Eukaryota; Viridiplantae; Streptophyta; Magnoliopsida; Fabales; Fabaceae
Description: lncRNA gene38115
Source: RNAcentral
CUAGUUUAUUUAAUAUAUAUAUGUAUAUUAUAAAAGAUACACAUAACUAUAUAAAAUAAAAGGAACUGUAUUCAAUAUACAUUAUUUUGUUUGCAUUGCAAAAUAAUUAAGACAAAUAAUUAUUUAUAACUAAAGUAUUUAUCUUGAGAGGUUCUGCUUGGCCUGUCAAAUAAUUAAAAGGUCAGAGAAAUAUAAUUUAAAGUGCAAGAGAAAUCACAAGAGUUGUAUAAUUCACUAUGACAUGCAAACAAAAUCAUAAGCUUUUAAGUAAUAUAAUUAUUUUUUGACUUAACUGUUAAACCCAUGCAGAUACAUUUUUUAUCCACACAUAGCUGCGUUUCAGUUGGCAUACAAGGAAGAUGUAAACAAUCGAGGAAAGUAAUACACUCACCAGCUGUGAUGUAAAAAAAAUAAAAUGUUAUUAAAAAGGGUCGAAUGAUUAUGUAUAAGGUCAAAAUUAAAAGAAACUUUGAAAAUGAAAAGAAGAGAAAGUUUACCAGUGUCAGUUAUAAAAAGAAAUAGGAAAAUCAAGAAGGUCAUAGCAUACACAAACUUGAUAAUUUUAAUCAUUUUUUUCCUUUUUUUGCAUGUAACGUACAA